Long non-coding RNA from Ruditapes philippinarum (Manila clam), 638 nucleotides. RefSeq lists it as uncharacterized. The record is from RefSeq and is a predicted model, not a curated record. The transcript is spliced from 2 exons. Lineage: Eukaryota; Metazoa; Mollusca; Bivalvia; Venerida; Veneridae.
UAUGAAUAAUUAAAGGUGAAAACCUUUAUGUUUAAUUUGACAAUCAUGCAUCCAUUAGUGUAUAUGUAUUUUAUUUACUUCAAAAGUUUACAUCGUCCGCCUUUGUUUACGUAAUUAUACAUGUGCAGGACUUUUAUUUUUCGAAAUGAAUACAUGUAGUUCAAAUACAAGAAAAAAAUCCACAUCCUUACUUAACAUAAAGAAAAAAUUAAGUUAUUCAUAGUUCAAACGGACGUAAUCACUUAUUAAAAUUAAUUUACAUUUUGUUGUUUUUGUUGUGCGUAACUCCAAAACAGUAUAAUUAAGUCAUUUUCACAUUAAAAGAUAGAGGCAGCCAUUUCGUAGACUUGUGACUUUAAUUGGACUUAUCAGUGGUACUAAUCGAAUUGAACAAGGAUGAGGGCUUAUAUACUUAUUUCUUUUGUGUUAUUAUCCCCCAUGUUGAUGACGUCAGAAGGCAAUCGAGUGACAGUUAAGUGUAAAGCUAAGUGUUUGGAUAACUACAACGUGUGCGCAAGUGCCUGCAGAAAUGUUUUCUUUGACAUGCCAGAAACUUGUGAAGGAAGGCAAUGUCGUAUCCCAAACAAAAAAAAUGCAUGAACAAAUUAUAUCAAGUUUGUGAAUAAAUCUGUAAUAAA